UUAUUACACCGAUCUAAUCAUCUCCAGAUUAAAUUAUUUCUGACAGUUUUACAGUUAGAUUUGAUCCAGUUUAAAAGUAAAAGCUGGUUGUUUUGUCUGUGUUUGAGGAAUUAAAACUCCGUUCUGUUUUUAAACCCGAGAUUCUUACUGAGGUGCUGUUUUCCACAUGCAGUGCUUGGCUGUGUUGGAGGCCACCAAGAAAGACUUCCUGGCUGUCAUGUGGAAGCUAAGUGGGCUGGGGUCAAAAGGGUUUCUGGCCAUGGUGCUUGUGCUGCAGUGAUCUUGUUCUCCAUCACACUCCAACACAGGUAGCCAUCUUCACCCUCUCCCAAGAGGUGAUGGUACGACUCUGAAUAAACACUCUAUUAUUAUAAAUAAAGUGUGACUGUGUCUUGUAGUCCACCCACCAACCUUUUUCUGUUCAGUGGUUUGACUUGUGCUACACAGAGGUGAGUCCAGUUAUGCUGCAAGAAGUGUAAGUAUGAUGGGGUUGACGAGUGGGAGGAGAGGUUCUUCCUGUGCAAGAUGGACCAGCAAACAGAUUUAAAGGCUGUUGUGAAUGAUGGGUUACAGAAAUGUCUUCCUGUGUUUAUUAUUAUUUGAAGUUAUAUAUUCUGAUUUGUAAGCAAGAUUAUGAAGUCUCCUUUUGCUAAUCAUUUUAGAGCAUUAUUAAAAAGUCCAUGUACACAAUGUUUAUCCCGAGUGCCUUUUUGAUGUAUUUUAUUAUCCUGCACAAAGCAAAAACACAAUUUGAGUGUAGAUGCCCCUCGUAAAUAUUAACAUAGUAAGAGCAAAUGGACAAGUGAAACUAAUCAAUAUAAAAUCUCUAAAGAAGGGCAUGAUGGUACUGAUUUUCUCUUCACACACAUGGUAUGCACGUACUUGGAGUAAAUUUUAAUGAACAGAAUAUGGGUUCUAUUCAGUACUUGACAAAUGAUUCAGUGCGGAUCAAAUGUGAACAAAUGAGCCAUGAAUGUAUCUGUGUUCUAUAUAAUAUCAUUUUUAAGUGGAUUUUUAAAUGACAUUAAAACCCUAGCCAGGCUGCACUGGGUUUUUUUUUUUAAUUUUUUUUUUUUUUAAGAGUAGGACACAUUCAUCCAUCCAUUUUUCCUACACAGAGUCAAGACUCACAGGGGACUCAGGGCACAAGGUGGGGGGACACCCAGGACAGGGUGCCAACCCAUUGCAGGGCACAAUUGCACACAUUUUUUAGAGAUGCCAAUCGGCCUACAACGCAUGUCCUUGGACUGCGGGAGGAAACCAGAGUACCGGAUGAAACCCCCUGAAGCACGAUGAGAACUACGAUGCAGGGCAGAGGCAGGAAUCGAACCUCCAACCCUGGAGGUGCAAGGCAAACAUGAUAACCUAGGGGCAGCAAUUGGCUGCCCUCUCCCCUCCCUGAUGGAUAUUUACACUUCCUGUUGCCUCAGCAGAGGAAAAACUAUCAUUAAGGACAGUUCUCACCCUGGCUUUGAUCUGUUCAAUCUGUUGCCCUCAGGGAGACGUUACAGGUGCAUCAAAACAAGGACUAGUAGAUUUAAGAAUAGUUUCUUCCCGAAAGCUAUUACCAUUAUAAACAAAUACAUGUACUGAGUUCACAGCAUAUGUAUAUAGUGUUUCAAAACUGUGCAUUUCAUAGUACCUCCCCCAUCCGCCGCAAUAUCUUGUUCAUUUAUCUUGUUUAUUUAUGUUUAUUUAUCUGUUUAUUCUUCUUGUUUAUUGAAUGUACGUUUGCACGGAAUAAAAAGGAGUGGCUC
Ictalurus punctatus (channel catfish) is the source of this 1757-nucleotide long non-coding RNA. RefSeq lists it as uncharacterized. Lineage: Eukaryota; Metazoa; Chordata; Actinopteri; Siluriformes; Ictaluridae. The transcript is spliced from 4 exons. The record is from RefSeq and is a predicted model, not a curated record.